This 500-nucleotide ribosomal RNA is filed under the name uncultured bacterium. RNAcentral describes it as "partial 16S ribosomal RNA". The record is from RNAcentral.
CACGUAGUUAGCCGGGCCUUCCUCCGUGGGUACCGUCAGUGCUUCGUCCCCACGAACAGCGGUUUACACUCCGAAAAGCGUCAUCCCGCACGCGGCGUUGCUCCGUCAGGCUUUCGCCCAUUGCGGAAAAUUCCUUGCUGCUGCCUCCCGUAGGAGUCGGGGCCGUGUCUCAGUCCCCGUGUGGCUGAUCAUCCCCUCAAACCAGCUACCGAUCAUCGCCUUGGUGAGCCGUUACCCCACCAACAAGCUAAUCGGACGCAGGUCCCUCCAAUGGCGGUCCGAAGACCUUUCCUCAUCAUCCCCACAAGGACCAUGAGCUCAUGCGGAAUUACCCUCGUUUCCGAAGGCCUACCCCCACACUGGGCACGGUUCCCCACGCGUUCCUCACCCGUCCGCCACGUGACGCCAUCCGAAGACUCGACCCCCGUGCGACUUGCAUGCAUUACGGCACCGGCCGCCGACGCGUUAGAUCCGUGACGGCCAGGGACUUCAAAACCUCU